CUUGCCGCCGGCGACCGGCGCACGGGUGAGUAACACGUAUGCAACCUGGCCGUGACAGAUGGAUAACCGGGAGAAAUCCCGCCUAAUACAACAUAAUGCCGGGAGGGGACAUCCCCUGCCGGCCAAAGGGGGCGACCCCGGUCACGGAUGGGCACGCGGCGCAUUAGGUAGUUGGUGGGGCAACGGCCCACCAAGCCGACGAUGCGUAGGGGUUCUGAGAGGAAGGUCCCCCACAUUGGAACUGAGACACGGUCCAAACUCCUACGGGAGGCAGCAG
RNAcentral lists this ribosomal RNA (277 nucleotides) under uncultured bacterium. RNAcentral's name for it is "partial 16S ribosomal RNA". It matches the Rfam family "Bacterial small subunit ribosomal RNA", at positions 81 to 354 of the family's 1533-position model. The record is from RNAcentral.